This 241-nucleotide ribosomal RNA is filed under the name uncultured bacterium. RNAcentral's name for it is "partial 16S ribosomal RNA". It matches the Rfam family "Bacterial small subunit ribosomal RNA", at positions 84 to 339 of the family's 1533-position model. The record is from RNAcentral.
AUUUGUAGUUAGUGGCGAACGGGUGAGUAACACGUGGGUAACCUGCCCAUCAGAAGGGGAUAACGACGGGAAACUGUCGCUAAUACCGCAUACGUCCUUCGGGAGAAAGGCUUCGGCCGCUCAAGGAUGGUCCCGCGUCCGAUUAGCUAGUUGGUGAGGUAACGGCUCACCAAGGCGACGAUCGGUAGCUGGUCUGAGAGGAUGAUCAGCCACACUGGGACUGAGACACGGCCCAGACUCC